This 2644-nucleotide long non-coding RNA is filed under the name Salmo salar (Atlantic salmon). Its description in RNAcentral is "lncRNA (ENSSSAG00000100275.1)". Lineage: Eukaryota; Metazoa; Chordata; Actinopteri; Salmoniformes; Salmonidae. The record is from RNAcentral.
UUUUAACUUCUUUGAUGUUGAAUAACUGAGACCAUGUUAAUAUUCAUAUUUUACUCUUCUUUGCUAGAAAUAAUGGUCAGAAAACAGUUUUUAUAUAAAAAAAUGAAUGGUCACACAGGAUGACUUUUUUAGGUGGUAAAUUGAAGUUGCAUAAAAAGCGACAAAUCCUGAAUGUGCAUACAAAUUGUAAGUAACACUCAAGGGAACAUAAAAACUGUUUCGAAAUUAAUAUUUUUCCCUUUUAAAAUGUUUUUGAAAACCUUAUUCGUCAUUGACCCAAAUAUUCUGACACUUCUCAUCUCUGCUUCAGCCACGAGCUGCUUUCCCCGAUGAUCCAUCCACAGUAGGUAACCACUCUCUCUUGGAGCGCCGUCAUUCUGUGGAAUCUGAUGGACUUUGUUGUUCACUGGCUCUGGUUUGGUCUGGGUUUCCUUCUAGAGGACCAACUUCUUCCUCUGAUUCAGAAUCACUCUCCUCUUCCUGCUCCACUAGCUCCUAUUCUGUAAAGCCACGGCCAGCUUCUCUGUGAACAGACAAAGCUCUCAUAACCUGAGCUACUGGGUGGGUCCCUGAUGGGCAUAGAGAACUGAUUAUGGCAGAGGAUAGACAUUUAUUCAGUACCUUUUCUCUUGCAUCCUGGCACGAGUGAUGUAGCAUUGCUUCAUCACUCUAAAAAACAAAAUACAAUUAUUCUAAAACACGCAAGUGACGUCAUCAUGACAAUGUAAAAUAUACAAAUACAAUUUCAAAUGCCGUAGUAAAGGGGAGUUACAAGUACAAUUUGAAAUGUUUAGUAAUGUUUUAUAGCCCACCUGUGUUUUGAAACUCACCUCUUCUUGGGUUGUUUUUCCCCCGUCUGCUGAGUGAGCUCUGUACACCAGAUGGUGCUGUUUCCCUGUGUUUCAGUUACGUCUACAGUUUUCUGAUCACUUUGUGGAUUAGGUACAGCCACAACAGGCUCACCCACAGACUGAACCGUAUUCUAAACUUGACUUACCAAUGCCAAAUCAUUCCUAUAAAGUUAUGUACAGGCAACUGUUGUUUUUUUGUCUUUCAAUGUAUCCUGUCCUGUUCCUUUUCUUGUAAAAAAAAAACAAUGCAUCGACUUUAGAAAAAGAGAAUUAGUGUGUUAAAAUAACAUGAAAUGUGUUAUAUGCACUGAGUAUAGAAAACAUUAGGAACACCUUCCUAAUAUUGAGUUGCGCACCGCUAUAAGGCGUCAAAACCAUUCCACAGGGAUGCUGGCCCAUGUUGACUCCAAUGCUUCCCACAGUUGUGUUAAGUUGGCUUGAAGUCCAUUGAGUAGUGGACCAUUCUUGAUAAACAUGGGAAACUGUUGAGCGUGAAAAACCCAGCAGUGUUGCAGUUCUUGACACAAACCGGUGUGCCUGGCACCUACUACCAUACCCUGUUCAAAGGCACUUAAAUCUUUUGUCUUGCCCAUUCACCCCCCUGAAUGGCACACAUGCACAGCAAACCACCCUGCAGCACACCACCCUGCAGCACACCACCCUGCAGCACACCACCCUGCAGCACACCACCCUGCAGCACACCACCCUGCAGCAUACUGCUGGCUUGCCAGAUGCUGCUGGAAGUGGUGUUAGAGGGCCAGUAGGAGGCACUGUUUCCUUUGGUCAAAAAAACAAACAACAAAUAUCCCAAUGCCCUAGGGCAGUGAUUAGGAACAUUGUCCUGAGUAGGAUGUCGUCUUUCAGAUGGGACGUUAAAUGGGUGUCCUGACUCUCUGUGGUCACUAAAGAUCCCAUGGCAUUUAUUGUAAGAGUAGGGGCGUUAACCCUGGUAUCCUGGCUAAAUUCCCAAUCUGGCCUUCAUUCCAAUUGGCUCAUUUAUCUCCUCUGUAACUAUACUCCAGGUCAUUGCUGUAAAUGAGAAUGUGUUCUCAGUCAACUUACCUGGUAAAAUAAGGGUUAAAUUAAAAUGUCUCAAAGCUUAAAAAUCAUGUUUUAACCUCCGCUUCAUAUACAUUGAUUGAAGUGGAUUUAACAAGUGACAUCAAUGAGGGAUCAUUGCAUUGAACUGGUCAGUCUGUCAUGGACAGAGCAUGUGUUCUUAAUGUUUUGUGUACUCAAUGUAUCUAGAGUUAGAAAAAUGUAUUGACGUGUCACUCCACUAUGAUACUAUAAUACAGAUUUUCUUUUUUAAACCACAUUGUGGACCACUCAAAUUGAGUUUUGAAACACUAAAAACAAUCAUAGGCAAACAUGGUACAGGCGUAAUAUAUAUUCUAUACACAUUUAUGCAUAAAGUACAGCGGAUAAAAGGACAAUUGGGCCCUUAUAAAAAUGAAGUAUCCGUUGGAGGAUAAGGUGGCAGGCUUUGGCACAGGCAUUUACAUUAUUGUUACCUGAUAAAAUGUCACAUAAUGGGUUAUUUUCAUCAAGACUGUUAAAAUUUUGAUUUUGGCAGGACAGCUGACCAAAAGAUCCUCCUUAAGUUCAUUGUAUAACCCACUGUAAAGCAAGCAAGCAAUAAAGCCUACCUGGUCUGACAGUGCCUCCUCUGGCCAUGCCACAUAUUGCACAGCAAUGAUCUGACCUUGGAUUGCCAGCUGCUUGUGUGGACAAUAAUGCAGACCAUCCAUCUCCCUCUUUAGGUAAUUUGCAGCAACCAGAAGAACUUGAGC